CUUCCUUUACUACAGAAAAUGGUCUUUUCUCGGUUCUUUUUAUAAGACUAGAUUUGGUAUGUUAUUUUUAUCAAUGUUUUCUCUGUAUUAUUUAAUCACAUUCUACACAGACAUCCACACAAACACACAUACUAUAACUAUAUAGUAGGAUUUUUUUGCUUAUACUUUUUUAUUCUAUUUUGAUCAACUUUCGUUUCAGUUGUUUUGUGAGAUAUGUUAGAACACGUUAAAUGCCUUAAUGUUGCCUAUUUCAACUAUUCUUUAUUGUUCGCUUCGAUUUCUGUGGAGUCUUUAUUCGUGUUAUUAUAACCGCGUAAUGCGUUGUUGGAGACAUAGAAAUAUUGGGCGUCCUUAAAUACCGUCCGCACGUCUGUCCGUCCGGUCUCUUUUAAUAGCGGGCUCUAAAUAACAUCUACAGAUCUUGCCAAAUUUUUGUAAACUUAUAACAUAGGUUUACAUCAACAAUGUAUUUGAUUACAUGUGUCCAUAAUUUGAUAGGCAGCGCUGAUCAUUUAUUUAUAAAAGAGAUAUGAUAUAAUGUAUAUAAGCCAUUUAGAAUUAUUAAUUGGAAAAUCGCAUUGUCAGCGCAAUCAUUUCUACCAUUUGUGACAGAAUUUAAAAAACUUCUGUAAUAUUAUUGAUAUCUAAUACGAGUGUGAAAAGCAAUGCUAAUCAAUUAUUUUUAAUAGACGUGUUACAAAUUGUAUAUAUACUCGACGCUGAGGUUGACAAAAUAAGACUUUAAAUGCCGGUAUCGGAUCAAAGCACACAAGUUAUUUAAAGAUUAAAUUACCUGUGUAUCAAUUAAAUCAUGGGUUUUUAAACUGCAUAGUGAUGAUGUCCGCGUAUAUUUACUUCUAAUAACAAACGUCCUUUUGAAAAAAAAUUAUUGUGGAUAAUUUCAUAAUGAAUAUUCCGUAUGAAACAAAUAUACAAUACUUAUUAUGAUUCCUGGAAGAAUUAAAAUGAUAUACCCUAUUUAACUUUAUAUAAAAGAAGGAAGGGGGGGGGGGUAUAUUUCUUUUUUACCUUGGUACAGUGUAUCCAAUUUCAUUAUGUAUGAAAAUACAUUGCCUUGGAUCGUUUACUUUUUUAACAAGUAUAUACUACGUGUACUCGGUCUGAUACCUACUCAGGGGAAAUAUGUUUCCUUUAUAUUAUUUGUAUGUAAAAUGUGACCGAUUCGACCUAAAAAACAUGUUUAUAUAUUCCUGCAAAGUUUCCAAAUAAUCCGCUUUGUAAUUUCUGAGGUACGAGUUAUUCCCCUUGGAUAUAUCAAUCAUAACGGAAAUUGCAUAAGUACAUUGCUCUGAAGCAUUCAUUUCUUUAAGAUUAUUAUAAAAAGUUUUUACAAGGUCAAUAACCUAAAAAAAGUCUUUCUUUUUUAAAUGUCCUUGUACCUCAAGACAUAAAUUUUUUUUUUUAUAUGUUUUAAAAUUACAAUAGCUAUAUGUGAAAAACUUCUAAAUUUUAUAGUCGAAUGUGUGUCGAGUAGUUUUUGGGAAGUAUAGUUUCAAGUUAAACAUUUUGUUUCUAACCUCUUGUGGAUCGUAUACGUAGUAAAUUAUAAGAACGACAAGUGUUCUGUGAUUGAAAAGAUGAUUGUGGUCGCUGUGAAUUACUUAUUAUCGAGCUAAAAUGUUUACAAAAACUUGUAGUUGCUGUUAAUUCGCGAAGCAUGCUUCAAAAAUAGAGUUAUUGACUCGGAGGUCAAAAGCUUUAGUAAGCCAACACGUCUCAUGUUAUGUAUGUCAUUUUUCUGAACAUUAGCCUGUAACAAAAAUGAUAUUGAAUUUAAAUGCAACUUGAACUAAAUAUUAAUAUUAAAGGCCUUAAAUAUAAAUCAAAUUAUAACCAUUAAAGUAUUCGAGACAUUUCAGAAUAUGUUAGAGUAUUCAUGUAAGUACAUGCAAUCUAUUUUAGGAUAAUGGCCACCAAUUGGGGUAUUUGUGGUAUUUGUGAAAAUCUUCAGAUUACCAAACCUUCAGUAGUAUGGUGUUCCGAAUGUGACGAAGGACUAUGUGAAGAUUGUAAGAAACAUCACGCGGUAUCCAAGGCAUCAAAAAACCAUGAAACCGUUUCUAUCGCCAAAUACAAAAACUUACCCACCGAUGUCCUGCAAAUCUCUCAGACCUGCAAACUUCAUAAUGAGAAAUACGAGCUGUUUUGUGCAAAACACGAUUGUCCAUGCUGUAAGAAAUGUGUGAAAUCUCACAACGAUUGUAAAGGUUUAACUGACAUAAAUGAACUCAUAAAAAACGUAAAAACUUCAAACGCAUUUAAUGAAAUCGAACAAACCCUGCAGGAAGUCGUCGAGAAUAUAAAACGACUAAGCACAAACAGGAAUGAAAAUUUAAAAUCUAUAGAAAACAAGAAAAGAGAAAUUGAAGCAGCAAUAAAACAAACCAGGAUAAACGUUAAUCAUCACCUUGAUAAACUUCAGGAUGACUUGAUUAAAGAACUAAUGACAGUUGAACAAAGAGAAAAAAGCAAAAUAGAAAAAUUGUUAACUUCUCUACAAAAGAAGGAAAAAGAGAUCGCUGAAGUACAAGAAAACUUUGUCAGUAUUAAAAAUCAUGCGUCAGAACUUCAAACAUUUUUAACAAUGAAAGAUAUCGAAAAAGAUAUUAUAGGCGAAGAAAAAUUUAUCAAAUCGAUUGCCACAAGUGACUCCACAAAUCAAGUCAAUAUUUCAUGUCAGAUUAACAAGUAUUUACAGCAAAUAACAGCCAGCAUGCAGAAGUUUGGAGAAAUUAAUGUCAGUUCUGAUCCAUGUGAUUUUACCAUUCAGAAACGGAAGGACAGACAAGCCCAGAUUAUGGUCACUCUUCCAACCAGAGAUAUCGAUAACCUGACUCUGACAUUACAGAAACGUAUCAUGCCAAAGCUGGUAUAUAUCUCUGGUUGUUCAUUGCUUCCUGGUGAUCGGAUGGUAUUCUCCUCUUUUAUAGACGGCAAAUUAACAGUACUAAAGUCUGACGGAUCAAAAGAUUUUGAGAUAAAGAACAUUGGUCCAACUUUCGAUGUGGUAUUUAGUGGUGAUGAUUCUAUUGCUGUAACUUCCGGCAAUUCAAAUCAGAUUAAUAUAAUCGACUUAAAGAAGAAAUCAAAGACGAAAUCAAUAAAAGUUGAUUCAUAUAAUGGUGGAGUAGCAUACAAAGAUGGAUAUUUAAUAUAUUGUGGUAAGGAGAAAGGACUACAGAUGAUCAGUCUAAAUGACGAAACAAUUACCAAUGUUAAAAAUACCAAACUUUCAGGUUUUGCGUACGUUACAACAUUCGGUGACAAAUUGUUCUACACAAAUUCCAAUGACAGCGUAACCUGCUGUGAUUACCAUGGUCACAUACUGUGGACGUUCUGUGAUAAAAGUGUUGUGCGCUAUCUACUAGGUGUCUCUGUAGACAAUGAUGGUAACGUGUAUGUAGUGGGAGGUAAUACUAGCAAUGUGGUUGUUAUCUCUGCUGAUGGACAACACUACAGACAACUCCUAUCAAGUGAAGAUGGACUGAGCUUCCCAAUGGCUCUGCAUUAUGACACGUCUACCAAUGAAUUGUUAGUUUUAAAUCCAUCCAAUGAAGCCUUUCUGUAUGAUGUUAAAUAAUAAGACAUGAAGGUUGACUUUUUCAACCUUAUUCAACAUUUUCUUGAUCUCGAUUACAAACAUUAUUUUAAUUGAAUUAUAUAAUUUUUUUGUGAUCUAAUUAAGAUCUGUUUAAAAUUAAUUUAUAGCGUUAUUAACUGACAAUUUCUGUAUUGGCCCUGUUAUAGAUUUGAGAUUAGCUGUAUUGGACCCGAGACUCGACGACAUCUGAUCGAGAUUAUACAGAAAAAUUAAACUUCUAAGGAUUCAUUAUUAUUCGUGGGGUACAGGUUUUGGUGGAUUUUGUUGGUAUAGAUAUACCUCAAAUUACAGUUAUGAGACAGACAGCAAUUCAUCUACAAAGAUGAUCUAAGGACAGUUCCAUAUGAGUAAUAGAAAAUGUCUGUCAUACGUUUUCGAGACAGCAAAUCAUCGAAAAAAAGUAUCUUAUGACAGUUCCGUAUAAAUAAAAGGAGAAAUCAGAGAACAUCCUUACUUAAUAUCAAGGACAGUUUAAUUUGAAGAUGUCUGUUAAAAAGUUCAGUAUAAAUAAACAAGGAAAUGUGUUACACGUAUACGAGACAACAACAUAAUGACAAAAUUAACAUAACUAUUUUCAAUUUAAGUAAAGAAGAUGUUGGUAUUACGUACAUGAGGCAGUUCGGCAAUGUCAAAAUAAUAAAACUAAUCAAUACCCAACUACGCUGUAUGAUAUCAAGAAGGUUUUUCGGUCAUGAUUGUCAAUAAGGAAAUUCGGUCAUGGUUAUCAAUAAGG
RNAcentral lists this long non-coding RNA (4355 nucleotides) under Mytilus galloprovincialis (Mediterranean mussel). The record is from RNAcentral. Lineage: Eukaryota; Metazoa; Mollusca; Bivalvia; Mytilida; Mytilidae.